This 553-nucleotide ribosomal RNA is filed under the name Zelurus sp. CW-2009. RNAcentral describes it as "partial 16S ribosomal RNA". It matches the Rfam family "Bacterial large subunit ribosomal RNA", at positions 1797 to 2621 of the family's 2925-position model. The record is from RNAcentral. Lineage: Eukaryota; Metazoa; Arthropoda; Insecta; Hemiptera; Reduviidae.
CGCCUGUUUAUCAAAAACAUGUCCUUUUGAUUAUUUAUAUAAGGUCUGACCUGCCCGAUGAGGUAUUCAAUGGCCGCGGUAUUUUAACCGUGCUAAGGUAGCAUAAUCAUUUGUCUUUUAAUUGAGGGCUAGAAUGAAAGGUUGGACAAAGUAUAUUCUUUCUUUAAUUUAGUAUCAUGAAUUUAAUUUUUGAGUCAGAAAGCUUAAAUUUUAUUGUUGGACGAGAAGACCCUAUAGAUCUUUAUAUUUUCUUUUAAUUGAAUAAUUUAGUAGUUUACUUAGUUUUAUUGAUGGGGGUAUUUUGUUGGGGUGACUGUAGAAUUUAAUUAACUUCUAUUUGUAUUUUUCAUUAAUUAGUGUUUUAUUGAUCCAUAUUUUGUGAUUAUAAGAUUAAGUUACCUUAGGGAUAACAGCGUUAUUUCUUCGGAGAGUUCAUAUCGAUGAAGGAGUUUGCGACCUCGAUGUUGGAUUAAAAUAAGUGAUAAGUGUAGCAGUUUAUCAACUAGGUCUGUUCGACCUUUAAAUUUUUACAUGAUCUGAGUUCAAACCGGAG